This 680-nucleotide ribosomal RNA is filed under the name glacial ice bacterium MS-T10-03. RNAcentral's name for it is "bacterial SSU rRNA". It matches the Rfam family "Bacterial small subunit ribosomal RNA", at positions 807 to 1483 of the family's 1533-position model. The record is from RNAcentral.
CGUUGGGAACUAGAUGUGGGGACCAUUCCACGGUCUCCGUGUCGCAGCUAACGCAUUAAGUUCCCCGCCUGGGGAGUACGGCCGCAAGGCUAAAACUCAAAGGAAUUGACGGGGGCCCGCACAAGCGGCGGAGCAUGCGGAUUAAUUCGAUGCAACGCGAAGAACCUUACCAAGGCUUGACAUAUACCGGAAACGGCGAGAGAUCGUCGCCCCGCAAGGUCGGUAUACAGGUGGUGCAUGGUUGUCGUCAGCUCGUGUCGUGAGAUGUUGGGUUAAGUCCCGCAACGAGCGCAACCCUCGUUCUAUGUUGCCAGCACGUAAUGGUGGGAACUCAUGGGAUACUGCCGGGGUCAACUCGGAGGAAGGUGGGGACGACGUCAAAUCAUCAUGCCCCUUAUGUCUUGGGCUUCACGCAUGCUACAAUGGCCAGUACAAAGGGCUGCAAUACCGUAAGGUGGAGCGAAUCCCAAAAAGCUGGUCCCAGUUCGGAUUGAGGUCUGCAACUCGACCUCAUGAAGUCGGAGUCGCUAGUAAUCGCAGAUCAGCAACGCUGCGGUGAAUACGUUCCCGGGCCUUGUACACACCGCCCGUCAAGUCAUGAAAGUCGGUAACACCCGACGCCGGUGGCCUAACCCUUUAUUGGGAGGGAGCCGUCUAAGGUGGGAUUGUAAUUAGGGUUA